Molecule: ribosomal RNA, 462 nt
Filed under: uncultured bacterium
Lineage: Bacteria
Description: partial 16S ribosomal RNA
Rfam family: Bacterial small subunit ribosomal RNA
Source: RNAcentral
GAUAAACGCUGGCGGCGUGCUUAACACAUGCCAGUCGAACGAAGUUUUUCUUUCGGGAGGAACUUAGUGGCGGACGGGUGAGUAACGCGUGGGUAACCUGCCCUGUACAGGGGGACAACAGCUGGAAACGGCUGCUAAUACCGCAUAAGCCCUUAGCACUGCAUGGUGCAUAGGGAAAAGGAGCAAUCCGGUACAGGAUGGACCCGCGUCUGAUUAGCCAGUUGGCAGGGUAACGGCCUACCAAAGCGACGAUCAGUAGCCGAUCUGAGAGGAUGUACGGCCACAUUGGGACUGAGACACGGCCCAGACUCCUACGGGAGGCAGCAGUGGGGAAUAUUGCACAAUGGAGGAAACUCUGAUGCAGCGACGCCGCGUGAGUGAAGAAGUAUUUCGGUAUGUAAAGCUCUAUCAGCAGGAAAGAAAAUGACGGUACCUGACUAAGAAGCACCGGCUAAAUACAUG